This is a long non-coding RNA of Gadus macrocephalus (Pacific cod), 5886 nucleotides long. RefSeq lists it as uncharacterized. The record is from RefSeq and is a predicted model, not a curated record. The transcript has 3 exons. NCBI's taxonomy places the organism in Eukaryota, Metazoa, Chordata, Actinopteri, Gadiformes, Gadidae.
GAUGGCUCCUUUCUGUUUGGCAGGUGUUAUUAAGCUGACUUGUUCAUAAAGUCCAGCUACUUGGCUUAGCAGUUCCUGUCUAGUCAGCGGGUUGGGUGUCUCAGGUCUCACCUCCUCUUUGGGAAGAUCCUUGCCUACCCUUAAGUUCCUUUUCUGUUUUGAAAAGUUGAUUGAGGCCAAUAUAUAUGGCUUGUCUUCCUCCACCUGGUAUCCGAUGCCCAGGGCUUUGUUGUCUUCAUCCCUCAUUUGGUUUAGAAGGAUUCUCCACUAAUUCUCCUGAACUCAGGACUUCUGUUGGAGUUCCAUGCCUCCCACUUGCCCUGACCGGAACCAUGGUUUGAGAAAGAAGCAUCCAGACUUCAGAAUCUCCUCAACUUCUCCUGUGAUUUUGUCCAGUUGCUUCAGGUUUUUAUGGGAAGUUAAGAGGUCAUCCACAUAACUAUCGUCUUCGUGGACUCUGCGUUCCUCUUCCAAGUGAGCAAAGAUGGUCACUCUUGCUGUUUCCCUCAUCGCUAACAGCAACCGGCUGGUCUGUCCCCGAUGUUGACUCUUGUGAUGGCAUAUUCUCCUAUCUCUUCGUCAGGACUCUCCCUCCAGAGGAAUCUGUGUGGAUGAAUUUCACACUCCUCCAACCCCAGUGAAUUGUACAUUUUCUUGAUGUCCCCUAGAGCUGCAUACACACCUUUUCUGAAUCUCAGCAGGACAGCUCUGAUAGGGUUGAGAACAUCUGGCCCCUUAAGAAUAUCUUUCAUGCUCUGUCCCCUGAACUUCUGGCUGCUGUUCCACACAAGUCGCACUGGAGUUGUUAAUGAAUAAGGGUGUGGUGCCACCAAGUGGAUUACAUACCACACUGUUCCCUUCCAGUCGCUCAUGAUCUCAUCAGUAAGUUUUAUGACUGUGCCUCGUUCAACCAGCUCAUGGACUUGGGUUGCAUAUGCGACUUGCCACUCUGGCUCUCUUCAGUCGCGUUUCCGUAUUACUGUCCGAUACUGUCCAACUUCCACCACUCCAGGAAGUCACGGUUAGUAGAAGCUUUAACCUACACCUCAGCCAUGUUUUGCUGUUGCAACCGGGCUGCCCAUUACAAUCUCCUCAUGCUUUGCUGCAGGUGUUCUCAUGGAGCGAGCAAAGUGUGUUCUAGACCCGUGUGCUGCCAGCUCUAUAUCCUCAAACAAGUCCGCCAACUGUCUUUCCCAAUGGACUCUCCCAUAAGAUGAGGUCUCCAACUACUUUCACCCUUUGUGGAGCGAGUCUUCCCUCUCUGUGACUGAUGAGAAGUUUAAUAUCUUCUGGCCUCUUCAACUCCUCGAGCUUGACCUCUGGGAACAUUUUCUAUAUCUUCUCUGAUCUGGUAACAUUUGGCACUUUGGGGAUCUCAUCCAGGCCAUAAGAGACAAGUUCAUGAGCCCCCUCUGUUCCUUUAGGCAUCUUGACUCUGACUCUGAGGAGAUAUCUCUCAGUGGUCACCUUCAUGGUCAUCCCACCUACCCCGUGCACAGUGUUGUGGUAGUUACUCAAAAAAGGUCAUUAGUUACUUACUACUAGUUACUUCUGUAAAUUGUAAUGAGAUUACGUUACUGCAUUUGAAAAGUAACUUCGCUACUUAUUACUUUACUUUCCCGUUUCUUAAUUUACUGUAAAUACAUGGACAAACAUCAUAGCCCUAUCAUCACUUAGUGUUAAUUGUAUACAUCUUUAUAUAAACCAUAUGAAAGAACAAUAUCCCUGUUUGCACAAAAAAAACACGGCUUGGGUAACGCAGGAAAGCGCAUUACUAUAGUCUAGUAAAGUAGUGUAGUUACCGACAUUUUAAAUGUAAAGCUUUACUUUACUUCGUUACCCAAAAAAGUAAUAUUGUUACUGUAACGCGUUACCCCCAACACUGCCCGUGCAGAACUACGGUUAUCUUCUCAGUUUGUAACCUCAACCUUAGAGCAGCCUUGUGGGUGAUCAGUAUCAUGAGGCCAGGAAGUUUGCACAGUCCAUUUGACUCCAAAAGCUCGGGCUGUUUCCUACCAGUGCUGCCUGUCAUUGGUUUCUUGUUAGUGAAGGCCUUUCCUGCUAACUCUGGGGAAAGUUCAGACAAGAACUCUUCCUGGUCCUCUGUUUGCUUGCGUUAUACCUCUGCUGCCUUUUUCACUCUUCUCCUCAUUUCCCCUUCUGAAUUCUCCUUUUGGGCAGAGAAAAUAGUGGUGAUCUGAGGUUCUCCCCUUCUUACAGUCAUUAUUUCUGCAUAGGAAAGAGUCUCUGCAAUAUCGAUCAUCAUCCUGACAUCCAAGACAUUUUCUGCAGGCUCCCAACUUUUUCACGGCAGCAUCCUUUUCUGGGGCGGCGCCAAACGGUUGCUUGCCGUUGCUAUAGCAACUCCAAGCAAUUACUCAGAAACCCCAGAGCAACCCCUGAUUUUUUGUCAAACUCAAACAACAUAUUUGAAAUAAUGCCAUUUUCCGUAAAAUGGUAUUAAAUAAGUUCAACUAAACCUAUGGCCGAAUGCGGUACCCGUCACCAUACCGACCAUUCCUGUCAUAUGAAUCACCAGAUUAAGUGCAUAAUCAGUGAGUAGCGUCAACAUUUCAGGGCCGUGACUGGACUGUCGUUCAAAUCAACACGAGUCAGCCUGGGACUCUCCUCUCCUCCCCUCCCCCUCACCGUGCCCAGUUCCCGAGCGUUGGGCAUGCUUGCAAACGUCCUGUGAUCAAGACAUCGAUUUAAGGUAGGCCGUUUGGUUAUUAAGUUUGCCCGUCGCAGCAUAUUGACUUGGGCCCUUUCCCAUUCCUUUGCUCUAAAGAAAAUCUCAGCCCUAGCCCUCGCUGUUGCGCGUGCACGCACCGUGGAGCAAUGUCCCAAUACCACUUUAAGGUAGCUUUAAGGGGUAAGAGGGAGGGCUAACAUCCCCUCAAAAUUGAGAUUUUCGAUGGGUACCCUCAAAGCGAUUCAGUUCUGACUUGCUCCCACAAUACCUUGCGAGAAAACGGAAAAUCAAGAAAUAUCCCAGACAAGAUGGAGGACGAAAAGAUGCGACAGGAUUGGAAAAACACAAAUGACAUCGUUGAGUCCACUGCCACCAGCCCCCCCACCUCUCCCUCAUGCUCCUCCACCCCAGGCACCUCUUCCACCACCCCAGACACCCCUUCCAAGAGGAGAGUGCCAGGGGGCAGGCGAGGCAUGAGGAGAGCGAGGCAAAGUUGGCGGAAUGGUGGAGAAGAUGUGAUUCUCCACCAUUCUCUCAAAAGCUGAGAGAGAGUGUGUGUGUGUGUGUAUUUUUAGGUUUGCGUGUGUGUGUAUUUUUAGAUGCGUGUGUGUGUAUUUUUAGAUGUGUGGUUCAGUGUUUCUUAUUUAAAUAAAGUGUUUCUUCUAAAGUGUUCUUGUUCAUAACCGAUUAUUAUCUAAGGGUGCACUCACACUAGGCCAUCUGUCCGUGGCCAUGGCCGUUUUAGCACCUAACCGUGCUCAAAUCUGCCAGUGUGAGUGUGGCCAGUCUGGCUAAUACCACCUUUAACAGUAUUAUUAUUUUUUUAACACUUUAUUUAAACAUGCCAAUUACAAAAUAUAAAUACCAUUUCAGGUUAAACAUCUUUACAAUGGGUCUUGCUCGUUGCCCGAGACAAUGGCAGCCAGUCUGUCUCUUGUAACAUUACCAGGGGUCUGGUUAUCUGCUAGGGGGCACGGGGAGGCCAUGAUGACGUCACAGGGUAGGGUUGUCCCAUUUGGUAGGGGAUCGGUUAGGGUAGCAAUGAGGGGUAGCAAUGAGCAUGAGCAAUGAGGGUAAGGGUUGAGAUGUAGGGUUGAGACAGUGAGCAAAGAAACGGGAUUGGGCCUUGGGGCCCAUGUGAUUUUGUUUUGAAGUAGAACUAGAUUCUAGGUUUGGCUCAUACCAAAGGAUGGGUUUAUCGUAGCCUGGUAUGAUCUGCCCUUAAUAGAAGUAUUAUGAAGUAUAAUAGUAUCAACAAUAAUAGCAACUAUUGUAUUAAUGUUCCACAUAGGCCUACAUUUGAGACGUAUCGCGCAACUAAUGUGAAUGCUUUGGAAUGUACCGUGGCGACGGUGGGUCUGAGAUGUGCAAUUCACCACUAUUGACAGGACAGCUAACCUUGUAGUUGGGGGACUGCUGACGGGCUGUUGAUUGAGAGAACUAUGUUGUUUGUUAUAUGUCGUGUGGCCGCAGUGCCACCUGGACUAGCAGUGAAUGUGUACAUGCCGCUGGGCUAUUUUCAUGUUGGCCUUCUUAAAGAUCUUCCUCUAUAUUGUUCUAUGUCUUUACGUCUUUAUGUCUGUGCGUGUGUGAGGGAGAGGGAGAAAGAUAGCGCACGUUGAACUGUCAAAUGAUACGAUCACACUCAAUCACAGUGGUGCGAUUAGUCUGUGUUGUUACUGUACUGUAAACUUGCCUCGUACGGGACCGCAACCACCCCAACCCGUGCCGAAAAUGUCUUCCCGGCCGUGCCUCUGCCAAAUUCAGGUGUUUUGAUCAAGGUUUUUUUUUUUGACCAGCAACCUCUUGAAUUCAUACAGCAACUGUUAAGCAACUGCAACAAAUUAUUUCUGGCGCCGCCACUGCUUUUCAGGCAACUUAACCCCCUGAAUACCCUACAGAAGAAUAUUUUGUCACUGUGUCUCCCCUCACCGCACACAGUGCAUACAUCUCCCGGAUGUAAUGGAUUGGGAGAGGACCCAAAAGCAGCACACGUAGGCAGGCAGACAGUCGGUAAUGACCUUUAUUUACAGAAACGAGCAGACGGACGACAGGCAGGGCGCCGGCAGAGGGUCUCACUGGGCUGUACCUCUAUUUAAUGGAAAUUAAUCUGAGGAAUUCCAUAUGUUAACCAUAUUUAUAAAUUCUACUGGGAAACCAUAAACUUCCAACACUUUAAAUAGGUAUGCUCUCUGAAGACGAGGCUUUUUCUGCAUCCACAGCCAUAAGUGUUCAGUCUAUUUCAUUUUAAGUCCUAGUAUUGGUUCUUAACUCUGUAUACUGUAUAAAUCCCGUCUGGUUUUGAUGGAUGAUCUCAGGUAGAAAUUGAGCAAGUCUAUUAUUUAUAACUUUAGUAAUAAUCACAAUAAUCACCUAAUAGGUCCAGUGGCGAACUUAGCCCUUUGGGGGCUCCAGGCGAACAGUCAUUUGGGGGCCCCUGCAUCUACCGGUCUAAUGUACCUUAUAUCGCAUAAUAUAUGGCAUAAUGAGAUACUCCAUACAAGGGAUGAACAAAAGUCACUAUCCUUCUUUCAUGCAAAUGUUAAUUAUCUAUUUAAAAAUUGAGAAAAAAAUACAAAACAAUAAGAUUCGUUAUGUUGACACAUUACACUGACUGUUAACCUUAUGUCAUCAUUUACCUGAGGGUUUCCAGUAGGUCACAGCAGCUAUCUGCUGUGACCUACUGGAAACCACCAGUGGCGUCAGUUUGGUUUGAAAUGUGGUGGGGACAGAGACGCAAUCUGGAAUGCAUUUUUAGAAGUGCUGGGGAUGCACCUUAUUUUUCUUUAGCGCAGGUCAUGAAAGGUUCUGAAGACGGGAUACCUGUGUAGCUUACUAAAUAAUAAAAUGUGUCUGACACAUUUUAUGAAGAAAGCGUUUUCAAAAAGCAUUGGACAUGAAUGACCCACAAUGUUCUGCUCCAUGAUGCACUCAAUGUUGACGUGACAUGACAUGAGCUAUACCAAAAUAAACAAAGAGGGGCUUAUUACCUACGUGUUUAAGUUCAGAAGGGGCAAACGUAUACACACAGCACUACAAAUGUCAAGAUCGAAAAAGCUAAAAAUAAUUAUAGCUGAACGCUUUAUAUCACAUCAUGAGCUGGCUCAAUUCACAACACACAUCCAUCCAAUCUACAUGGCAUUCUGACCAAAACCCAUGCACUCCCCCCCCCCCCCCCCCCCACACACACACAA